Long non-coding RNA from Cyprinus carpio carpio, 445 nucleotides. The record is from Ensembl. NCBI's taxonomy places the organism in Eukaryota, Metazoa, Chordata, Actinopteri, Cypriniformes, Cyprinidae.
UACAGUUAGGUUGUGUGUGUAUAAAUAUAUAUAUAUAGAUUUGCUGUUCAUAAGUGUUUGUCUACAAUUAGAUAUUUUAUAAGAAGUGUAACGUUAGCUAUAUUUAAGUGUUUCGCGUGUAGUUCGUAUUGUAGGUUAAGCUAUUUCUAGCAUUUUAGUCAGCUUUAGAGUUUAAUACGUCGCAGGUCCAUUACACCGCUGUCUCCGCGACAACUGGGUACACACAGUUACAUUUCUGCCCUUAUGCUUCCGGCAAAUAUGUCCUCAACAAAGGUUUAUCUUCGCUAUGUAGUACUCAAUUUCAUUGAGCAAAAUGAGGUUGAGGUGGCACCAUCUUCAUGGCUCGAAAAGAUCGAUGGGGUACUGUUCUGCUAUUGGCCCAAUUCAAAUGUUGGGACCAAAGUCAUAAAAUGUGCCAUUCCAGACAAACAUCUCUGGACAAAAU